Molecule: long non-coding RNA, 731 nt
Filed under: Homo sapiens (human)
Lineage: Eukaryota; Metazoa; Chordata; Mammalia; Primates; Hominidae
Description: non-protein coding lnc-PRKAA2-11:1
Source: RNAcentral
AUAUAUUUAGGCAACCAGACUCACGAGAGCUCACUAUCACAAGAACAGUACCAAGGGGGAAAUCCACCCCCAUGAUCCAUUCACCUCCCACUAGGCCUCACCUCCAACUCUGGGGAUUAUAAUUCAUUAUGAGAAUUGGGCAGGGAGACAGACCUAAACCAUUAAACAGAGGGAACUGAAAUUUCAAAAACUGAGGUAGAAGCAGGGUUGAAGUAUUUUUCUCUUGAGUUUCCAUUUCUUUAUAUAUUAAACUAAAGUUUGGCCUGCAGCAGGGUUUCCUGACUUUCAAACUUUGGACAUUUGCAAAUAACCUUCCUGUUAUUUACCUUAUUCACAUACCACCCAAAGAGUGUAUAAUGUAUUGCCAAAAAAUGCAGAGAGAUGGAGUAGAGGUACUACUUAUGUUAGCUUCAACCUAAGUAGGAACUUGUUCAGGCACUUUGCUAGGUGCUUUACUUAGAUGAUCUCUAAUUCCCCUGACAAUUCAGAAAAACAGAUGAGGUUAAGGUAGUUGCAGAAGAUCAGAGGCAGUAGAAGUCAGAGCUGAGAUUUGGAUCUAGAUCUAUCUAGCUUCCAAAGACAACAAAAGGCAAAUGUACAUAAUUGCCAAAAGAGGAAAGCAAUGAGCUUUAGUGAAGAUAAAGUAUUGUUUAUUCCAGGUAGAUGGUCAGAGACGGUAGACUGAAGUAGAUGAAAUUGGAAGAAUGCCACUCAUUUGUUAAGGUACAGUU